This 602-nucleotide ribosomal RNA is filed under the name Meliscaeva sp. XM-2015. Its description in RNAcentral is "eukaryotic LSU rRNA". It matches the Rfam family "Eukaryotic large subunit ribosomal RNA", at positions 394 to 821 of the family's 3401-position model. Lineage: Eukaryota; Metazoa; Arthropoda; Insecta; Diptera; Syrphidae. The record is from RNAcentral.
AGUACGUGAAACUGCUUAGAGAUUAAACCCGAUGAACCUGAAAUUCCUAAAGUGGAGAAUUCAAUAUUAAAGUUGUUAUAUGUAAAAAUAUUUCGACGAUAGUAUGCAAUUUUUCCAUUGUGGACAUUGUAAUCUGUUAGUGUAUCAAAAUUAUCAAAAAAUCUUAUACUUAUGUUUAUUUUUUACGAUUAUCUUAGGAUUUUCGGAAGAAAAUAAUUGUUAAAGAUUAGAUAAAACACUGACAGAUAUAAUUAUAUAAUAUGCUUAAAUCUUUUCGGAGAUUUUACUAAGGUAAAUGGAUCUUAUGAUUUAUUUAUACGAAGUAGGCACUAUUUAUGAUUUACAAUGCGAUAGAUUCAGGAUACCUUCGGGACCCGUCUUGAAACACGGACCAAGGAGUCUAACAUAUGUGCAAGUCAUUGGGUAUUUUUAAUAAAACCCAAUGGCAUAAUUAACUUAACUUUAUAAUGGGAUUAGUUUAUAAUUUGUCAUGAAUUAUUUAUUCAAUCCCGGGGCGUUCUAUACAGUUAUGCAUAAUGGUAUUUAUAUUAUUUAUGCCUCUAACUAGAGCGUACCUUGAGCAUAUAUGCUGUGACCCGAAA